GAUGAACGCUGGCGGCGUGCCUAAUACAUGCAAGUCGAGCGAACGGACGAGAAGCUUGCUUCUCUGAUGUUAGCGGCGGACGGGUGAGUAACACGUGGAUAACCUACCUAUAAGACUGGGAUAACUUCGGGAAACCGGAGCUAAUACCGGAUAAUAUUUUGAACCGCAUGGUUCAAAAGUGAAAGACGGUCUUGCUGUCACUUAUAGAUGGAUCCGCGCUGCAUUAGCUAGUUGGUAAGGUAACGGCUUACCAAGGCAACGAUGCAUAGCCGACCUGAGAGGGUGAUCGGCCACACUGGAACUGAGACGCGGUCCAGACUCCUACGGGAGGCAGCAGUAGGGAAUCUUCGGCAAUGGGCGAAAGCCUGACGGAGCCACGCCGCGUGAGUGAUGAAGGUCUUCGGAUCGUAAAACUCUGUUAUUAGGGAAGAACAUAUGUGUAAGUAACUGUGCACAUCUUGACGGUACCUAAUCAGAAAGCAACGGCUAACUACGUG
RNAcentral lists this ribosomal RNA (497 nucleotides) under uncultured bacterium. RNAcentral's name for it is "partial 16S ribosomal RNA". It matches the Rfam family "Bacterial small subunit ribosomal RNA", at positions 28 to 507 of the family's 1533-position model. The record is from RNAcentral.